Molecule: non-coding RNA, 75 nt
Organism: Myotis lucifugus (little brown bat)
Lineage: Eukaryota; Metazoa; Chordata; Mammalia; Chiroptera; Vespertilionidae
Source: Rfam
GGUAGUUCUUGGGUGAUGCACCCCGGAAUUGGGCUCCCUCCUCUCUGAUUUCAGGUGCGUCACAUGAGAACCGGA